RNAcentral lists this ribosomal RNA (253 nucleotides) under uncultured bacterium. Its description in RNAcentral is "partial 16S ribosomal RNA". It matches the Rfam family "Bacterial small subunit ribosomal RNA", at positions 524 to 776 of the family's 1533-position model. The record is from RNAcentral.
UACGGGGGAUGCAAGCGUUAUUCGGAAUUAUUGGGCGUAAAGGGCGCGUAGGCGGUUUAACAAGUCAGAUGUGAAAGCCCGUGGCUUAACCACGGAAGUGCAUUUGAAACUGUUGGACUUGAGUACGGUAGAGGAAAGCGGAAUUCCUGGUGUAGAGGUGAAAUUCGUAGAUAUCAGGAGGAACACCGGUGGCGAAGGCGGCUUUCUGGGCCUGUACUGACGCUGAGGCGCGAAGGCGUGGGUAGCGAACAGG